Cajanus cajan (pigeon pea) is the source of this 708-nucleotide non-coding RNA. NCBI's taxonomy places the organism in Eukaryota, Viridiplantae, Streptophyta, Magnoliopsida, Fabales, Fabaceae. The record is from RefSeq and is a predicted model, not a curated record.
GGAAAUUGGAAAGGAAUUUAUAAGUUGUGCAGGGUGUUGUAGACAAUAAAGUUUAGAACUUACAUGUUGGAAUGCUAAUCUGUGUGAUGAAUUCCAUUGUUUACAGCUUAUGUUGGGUGAUAUUGUAAUUUCUGUUGAGAUAGCAGUAAGACAAGCAGAGGAAAGAGGGCACACUCUUCUUGAUGAGAUCUGAAUCCUCAUGGUUCAUGGUUUGUUACAUCUUUUGGGAUUUGAUCAUGAAAUAAGCGAAAAGGCUGAAGUAGAAAUGGAAAGAGAGGAGGAAAUCCUUUUAAGAAGUCUUGAUUGGAAGGGAAAAGGGCUAAUAAAGAGUGCAUGUGAUGUUGAAACAAACUCAAAUUUUCACCAAGACAGUUCAGAUGGCAAUUGUAUUUUUUACUAACAGGAAGAAAGAAGGCAGUCUUCGAUUUUACAAACCAAAGUUUAGCUAUAUCUUCUGUGAUAUGGAUGUGGUUAUCAACUCCAUUGUAUUUCAUGCAAAGGAAAGUUCAAAUCAGGUUUUUCAUGUGUUGACUGAUGGAGAAAAUUAUUAUGCAAUGAAGCUCUGGUUCUUGAGGAACCAUUAUAAGGAAGCUUUUGUUCAAGUGCUGAAUGUAUCAUUUUGUGGUUAUGAUAAUCCAUCCAUGAACCAAAUUAGAAUAGAAUACCUUUCAAUUUUUUCUGAUUCACACUAUUUACUUCCUGAUUUAU